Molecule: long non-coding RNA, 1103 nt
Organism: Vicia villosa (hairy vetch)
Lineage: Eukaryota; Viridiplantae; Streptophyta; Magnoliopsida; Fabales; Fabaceae
Exons: 3
Source: RefSeq, a predicted model, not a curated record
AACUCUCCUCUUUCUCUUCCAAAACGGUUUCUCCUCUUCUUUCAAAACCGGCACUUACUAACUCUCCUCUUUCUCUUCCAAAACGGUUUCUCCUCUUCUUUCAAAACCAUUUCCACAUCGUUUUCUCUUUCACCCUCAGGUCUGUCCAUCUUUUAGAACGAAUCUCCUCCCUCUCUCUCCAAGCCAAAACGGAAGCGUCUGCACUCCUUCUCUGGCGAACUACUCGCCUUUUCUGUUCCGAUUCAUCUCAAGAACAAGCAGAAAGAAGAUAUUUUCAAGAAAAUGGAAGAGGAGAAAUCCAGAAAGCGUCCCAAACUCGGGUGGAUAUCGAUAGAAUCGUCACCGAUACAAUAGAAGUUAAGUUGAUUUUCAUAAAUUUCUUAAUUUACAAUAUCUUUCUCUCAUUUGUUGCUAUGUUGAUUCAUUGAAUCAAUUCAUUUGUUGCUAUGUUUUCUAUAUUUGUUACAUUUUGAUUUCAUUUGCUGAUUCAGGUAUACGACGUGACACAAUAGUUGGAAGAUCAUCCCGGUGGAGAAGAUGUAAUCCUCGUUGCAACCGGUACAUACUAAUGUUUCCUUUAUUUUUGUCACACUAAUAUGAAUUGCAUAAUUAAACAUUCAUUACUCAAAAUUGUUUUGAAAUCUCAUGUUUGUAUGCUUUCCUUUUGAUGCUGCAAGUUUUGAUGCAAGUUUGGAAAAGGUUGUUGAUUUCGGUCUUUCGAGGUCAGGACCAUGUUUCCUGGUAAUCAAUCUACAUUCUACAAUGCCUGCACAAAUCAGUACUUCUUAGAAUUGAUACUGCUGGUUUCAUAGCAAGAGUGAAGGAUCUUUUUAGAGGACAUAGAGAUUUGAUUUUUGGAUUUAACACAUUUUUGCCAAAGGGGUAUGAAAUUAAUCUCAUUCAAAAAAGCCUAUUGAAUUUGAAGAAGCUAUGAGUUUUGUGAACAAGAUAAAGGUAAAAGCAUUGUUGAAUUUGAUGGGUUCUCUUCAUGGAGAUUUAUGUGCAAUGUGGAAUGAAAAGUUUUACAUUUGAGCCUAAUGCGUCCUUUCAUGCAGACUCAAUUUCAUGGUGAUGAUCAUGUUUACAAGACAUUUAUAGACAUA